Long non-coding RNA from Ornithodoros turicata, 1014 nucleotides. RefSeq lists it as uncharacterized. The transcript is spliced from 3 exons. The record is from RefSeq and is a predicted model, not a curated record. NCBI's taxonomy places the organism in Eukaryota, Metazoa, Arthropoda, Arachnida, Ixodida, Argasidae.
UUCACGCGACAGAACAUGCUUCCAUAUCGUCUUUCUGUGGCUGGACAAGAGCUCCAGUACUCGAGCUCAUGCAAGUUCCUUGGCGUUACGCUGGACACUCUACUCUCGUGGGGAAGACAUAUAGCGGGCCUAGAAGCGAAACUCUCCAGGGGUAUCGCAGUAGUGGGACACAUUGCUGGCCUUAGGUGAGGCAGCGAUGCGCGAUCUCUCUUGGCCAUUCAUCGUGCCCUGGAUUUCCUGUCAUCAAAAGGCCUCUCUACCCUGCUUUGUUCACCUGAGUCCUCAUCCCCAUCAUCAUCUUUUAUUAUCUACAAAUGGCACUGGGGCACCGCCCAGCCUGCUGGCCGGCAUCAGCUCCAUCUCAUCAAGGGAUCACAAGUAAUGAUUAGCACGGACGUACCACUAGAGCGUGCGACGUGAAGCUGAUGGAGGUUUAGAAGAGAGCGGCUGCCCGGAUAGAGGCUUUGAGGGGGAUCGACAACGGUGUACCCGAAUGCCUGGCAAUCGAACGAUAGCUUCGUCGGUGAAGUCCCAUUCCACCUAUGUUGACGUCUGACUGAUCGACGUUGACUGACCGACGAAGGCCCGACGAAUAGGAACGACAAGACGAACCGACGAGGGCGGCAGUCGAAAUCCAGUGACCCAGACUCCAUGUAUAUAUAUGCAUAUAUAGGACAGAGGCCCACAGCUGGAGUACAUCGCCGUCGCUACCGCUGCACGUGAGUCGUGGACAAGGAGCUGAGACCGGAAGAUCGACGGAAGCCGCUACCGAAAGCCUGAGCUAGGAGAGCCGAAUGUAUGUCACCUCUGGAGUCAUCUUCCAAGUCCGUCAUCCACACGUGUCUGCGGCCUGGGGAAGCCAUCGGUGUCGUCGGGCCCUCGUGUCGUCACGGUCAAUCAGUCAUUUGUGUCCUGCUCGGGUCAGUACCGGGACACUGGGCGCGUCUGUUCCUAUUACUGUGCCCAUCGACGCUACCAUUAUAUUGUGUGUAGAUAUUAAAUUACAUCUGUUAA